CAGCAUGUUUCCAAGGGCUGUGGCCGGCUGUGGCCAUGGGAUCUCCAACUGCAUGCCAGAGCAACCUGGAGAGACUUUGACAGCACAGGUCAGCAUAGUACCUGCGGCUGCCACUCGCCUUUCCUAUAUCA
This is a small nucleolar RNA of Neogale vison (American mink), 131 nucleotides long. The record is from Ensembl. Lineage: Eukaryota; Metazoa; Chordata; Mammalia; Carnivora; Mustelidae.